GAUGAACGCUAGCGGCAGGCUUAACACAUGCAAGUCGAGGGGUAUAGUAGCAAUACUAGAGACCGGCGCACGGGUGCGUAACGCGUAUGCAAUCUACCUUAUACAGAGGGAUAGCCCAGAGAAAUUUGGAUUAAUACCUCAUAGCAUAGCAACUUCGCAUGAAGUCACUAUUAAAGUUCCAACGGUAUAAGAUGAGCAUGCGUCCUAUUAGCUAGAUGGUAAGGUAACGGCUUACCAUGGCUACGAUAGGUAGGGGUCCUGAGAGGGAGAUCCCCCACACUGGUACUGAGACACGGACCAGACUCCUACGGGAGGCAGCAGUGAGGAAUAUUGGACAAUGGGCGCAAGCCUGAUCCAGCCAUGCCGCGUGCAGGAAGACGCAUCUAUGGUGUGUAAACUGCUUUUGUACGGGAAGAAACACUCCCUCGUGAGGGAGCUUGACGGUACCGUAAGAAUAAGGAUCGGCUAACUCCGUGCCAGCAGCCGCGGUAAUACGGAGGAUCCAAGCGUUAUCCGGAAUCAUUGGGUUUAAAGGGUCCGUAGGCGGUUUGGUAAGUCAGUGGUGAAAGCCCAUCGCUUAACGAUGGAACGGCCAUUGAUACUGCCAGACUUGAAUUACUGGGAAGUAACUAGAAUAUGUAGUGUAGCGGUGAUAAUGCUUAGAUAUUACAUGGAAUACCAAUUGCGAAGGCAGGUUACUACCGGUGGAUGACGC
RNAcentral lists this ribosomal RNA (715 nucleotides) under Bacteroidota bacterium. RNAcentral describes it as "bacterial SSU rRNA". It matches the Rfam family "Bacterial small subunit ribosomal RNA", at positions 28 to 746 of the family's 1533-position model. The record is from RNAcentral. Lineage: Bacteria; Pseudomonadati; Bacteroidota.